Sycon ciliatum is the source of this 2358-nucleotide long non-coding RNA. RefSeq lists it as uncharacterized. Lineage: Eukaryota; Metazoa; Porifera; Calcarea; Leucosolenida; Sycettidae. The record is from RefSeq and is a predicted model, not a curated record. The transcript has 36 exons.
AGCUACACAACGAGAUGAGGAUUGUCUUUAUCAAUUUCUGAGCUGAGAACGGGCAUAAAGCUACACAACGAGAUGAGGAUGGUCAUUGUCAUUUUCUGAGCUGCGAACGGGCAUAAAGCUAGACAACGAGAUGAGGAUUGUCUUUGUCAAUUUCUGAGCUGCGAACAGGCAUAAAGCUACACAACGAGAUGAGGAUGGUCAUUUUCAUUUUGGGAGCUGCGAACAGGCGUGAAGCUACACAACGAGAUGAUGAUUGUCUUUGUCAAUUUGUGAGCUGCGAACAGGAAUAAAGCUACACAACGAGCUGAGGAUUGUCAUUGUCAAUUUCUGAGCUGCGAACGGGCAGAAAGCUACACAACGGGAUAAGGACUGUCUUUGUCAAUUUCUGAGCUUCGAACAGGCAUGAAGCUACACAACGAGAUGAGUAUUGUCUUUGUCAAUUUCUGAGCUGAGAACAGUCAUAAAGCUACACAACCAGAUGAGGAUGGUCAUUUUCAUUUUGUGAGCUGUGAACGGGCAGAAAGCUACACAACGAGAUAAGGAUUGUUUUUGUCAAUGUCUGAGCUGCGAACGGGCAGAAAGCUACACAACAAGAUGAGGAUUGUCUUUGUCAAUUCCUGAGCUUCGAACAGGCAUAAAGCUACACAACCAGAUGAGGAUGGUCAUUGUCAUUUUGUGAGCUGCGAACGGGCAGAAAGCUCCACAACGAGAUGAGGGUGGUCUUUGUCAAUUUCUGAGCUGCGAACAAGCAUAAAGCUACAGAACGAGAUGAGGAUGGUCAUUUCUCAUUUUGUGAGCUGCGAACGCGCAGAAAGCUACACAACAAGAUGAGGAUUGUCUUUGUCAAUUUCUGAGCUUCGAACUGGUAUAAAGCUACACAACCAGAUGAGGAUGGUCAUUGUCAUUUUCUGAGCUGCGAACGGGCAUAAAGCUACACAACGAGAUGAGGAUGGUCAUUUUCAUUUUGUGAGCUGCGAACGGGCAGAAAGCUACACAACGAGAUGAGGAUUGUCUUUGUCAAUGUCUGAGCUGCGAACAGGCAUAAAGCUACACAACGAGAUAAGGAUUGUUUUUGUCAAUGUCUGAGCUGCGAACGGGCAGAAAGCUACACAACAAGAUGAGGAUUGUCUUUGUCAAUUCCUGAGCUUCGAACAGGCAUAAAGCUACACAACCAGAUGAGGAUGGUCAUUGUCAUUUUGUGAGCUGCGAACGGGCAGAAAGCUCCACAACGAGAUGAGGGUGGUCUUUGUCAAUUUCUGAGCUGCGAACAAGCAUAAAGCUACAGAACGAGAUGAGGAUGGUCAUUUCUCAUUUUGUGAGCUGCGAACGCGCAGAAAGCUACACAACAAGAUGAGGAUUGUCUUUGUCAAUUUCUGAGCUUCGAACUGGUAUAAAUCUACACAACCAGAUGAGGAUGGUCAUUGUCAUUUUCUGAGCUGCGAACGGGCAUAAAGCUACACAACGAGAUGAGGAUGGUCAUUUUCAUUUUGUGAGCUGCGAACGGGCAGAAAGCUACACAACAAGAUGAGGAUUGUCUUUGUCAAUUUCUGAGCUUCGAACAGGCAUAAAGCUACACAACCAGAUGAGGAUGGUCAUUGUCAUUUUGUGAGCUGCGAACGGGCAGAAAGCUACACAACGAGAUGAGGAUGGUCAUUUUCAUUUUGUGAGCUGCGAACGGGCAGAAAGCUACACAACAAGAUGAGGAUUGUCUUUGUCAAUUUCUGAGCUUCGAACAGGCAUAAAGCUAGACAACGAGAUGAGGAUGGUCAUUUUCAUUUUGUGAGCUGCGAACGGGCAGAAAGCUACACAACAAGAUGAGGAUUGUCUUUGUCAAUUUCUGAGCUUCGAACAGGCAUAAAGCUACACAACGAGAUGAGGAUGGUCAUUUUCAUUUUGUGAGCUGCGAACGGGCAGAAAGCUACACAACAAGAUGAGGAUUGUCUUUGUCAAUUUCUGAGCUGCGAACAAGCAUAAAGCUACACAACCAGAUGAGGAUGGUCAUUUUCAUUUUGUGACCUGCGAACGGGCAGAAAAUGCCUCCAGUACCCGUAUCGAGAGCCUUGGAGUCGGGUAAUGGGCAUAUUGUCACCACAACACAAUGCACCAUAACAACACAAGAUAACACACCACAACAACAUUCAGCUCAAGACCAAAGUGGACGUUGUGAUGAGGUAAUGGCCUCAUCGCCGUCUUUGCCGUUGCCUCCCCCAGAACCACCACCUAUUACAUGUAUCCUUCAGUAACGUCUGGCACUAGCCAGUGUCCACACAGCUUUAAUCAUUCCCGUAGCUAUGCAGAAGACGUUGCUUCAGUAACGUCUGGCGCUAGCCAGGGUCCACACAGCUUUAAUUUGGUGUU